UUCGCCUGGUAGUUCAAACAGUUCUAGCUUGACAAAUCUCUAGUCUUUUGGCAAAAUCAGAGUGGUGCCCAUCAUAUAGGGAGAAGAACAGCCACCUAAGGUGAUCAAGUACCUUAUAGUGGAUGGCGUUACCAUAUCGUACAAACUGAGCGGACCCCAGAGUAUGUGAUUAUGGACUCUGCUCCAGAGUUAAAGACUUGGGUAGAGUUCCUGAAGAUAGAGACUCCCAGAGAAGAUGCUAGCCCCUGAGAAGUGAGACAGUACUCCAGAAAACCAGUGGCUUCUAUCUUUGCACCCAGAAGAAGAGAUAUUGUAAACUUCAAAAGGAAGUCUGCCCCAUCAGAUGUUCCUACCUCCAUACCCCAAAACCAGCAGAGCUUGGAAAAAUAUUUGUAAAUCAUAUAUCUCAUAAGGGAUUAAUAUCCAG
RNAcentral lists this long non-coding RNA (427 nucleotides) under Equus asinus (donkey). RNAcentral's name for it is "lncRNA (ENSEASG00005032397.1)". The record is from RNAcentral. Lineage: Eukaryota; Metazoa; Chordata; Mammalia; Perissodactyla; Equidae.